Molecule: long non-coding RNA, 4567 nt
Organism: Harpia harpyja (harpy eagle)
Lineage: Eukaryota; Metazoa; Chordata; Aves; Accipitriformes; Accipitridae
Exons: 3
Source: RefSeq, a predicted model, not a curated record
GGAGCCAACCGCGAGGACCUGGUGUGACAGGAUUGCUUCGCUGACGAGGACAUCUCUUUCUAAAGUUGCAAAAUUUGGAGACCCCUUCCACGUCCCGUCCGUCCCCGGUUCUCGGGCCGCUGUCCCGCUGACCCCCCUAGGCCUAACUUCGGGGGGCCGAAGCCUCCCCCCACCUGCCCGGCACCCCUCUGUUCCCCGGGCAUGGCUGACCCAUGCUGACCCUUCGCUAAACAGAUUUUUGUUAUUACUACUACUACUACUAGGAUUUUCUGGGUCCGUCCCCCAUUUGGAACAGAAGCCAAAGGCACAGAAAAAGUAUUGAGGAGUCUUUCCCCUAGUGAGAGUCUGUUCACAUCCCUUUGCUGAGGCCUGUGUGAACACAAAUUUCAGCAGCAUCCAUAAUAACGUAGAAAAAAAAUCUACAUGGCUGAAGAUUACUUUGGCUGAUGUUACCGAAGGCUACCCAUAGACCUGCUUCCACCUCUGCUUUAAUCUGGUCUGAUAACUGAGCGGGACUGUUUCUAAGAAAUUGUUUCCAUAUCUACAAGGAAAAGCUUUCAGAACAUAUUUUCUUGCAUAUAACCAAUGUGUACUAGCUAGAGUAAAAAUGUGUAUCCAUAUGAUUUAUUUAUUGUGGUUCAGCCCCCAUUUCCCCGUGAUUCGUUGCAUACGCACUGUUGUGUAUUCAUUCAUACUGCGUGCUGGGAAGGUGUUCUCCCGAGCAAUGCUCCAUGGUCGUUGUCUUACGGAACAAAUACAGGAACCUACCGGGAUUCUGCAGUUUGGGGUGAAACCAAGCUAUUUUCAGGACUCCUCCGGUGUUAAGUCACCGCCAUUUCAAAUGGCUGCCAAGCUGUAUGGAGGAGAUUGACAGUGGAGUGUCCUGAGAAGGGAUUAGAAAGAGGCACGAUGGUGGUGCACCGAUACGGGCAGAAAAGGAGGAGGUGGAGACUGAGCCAUUCCCGUGCCUGGUUGGGAUGAAGAGUAAUUAUGCUGGGUCUUCAGGAUGGUAAAGUUUGCAAAGCAUCUGUGUACAGACUGCAGUCUGAAUAUUCGGCAACAAAAAACCAGUACAGCAGCACCGCUGCAUGUGGACUUGUGUAACCAUUACUGCCUCGGUGCUUGCCAGCAAUCCAGUUGGCUCGCUGCUCACUGGAUUGGUGCUGGUCUACCAGAGUGUGCUGGAAAUACAUAUUACAGUGUGUUUCACUGUGCUGGUACUGAGAAAAUACUUCCAGAUUUGGAAAGGUCAUGAUCCUGAGUUGUGCUGGAAGCAGUGGCUGGACGUGUGUGCCUAUAUUGCAGACUGAAAGUCAGGUUUCAUAAAUAGUAAAAAAAAAAAGAUAUUUUUUCAAGCUUCUGCAAAGCCUCAUUGAUUACUAUGGAAAGUUCACAGAUAUUAAUGCAGAAUGAUAUACAAUAGUUGAUGACAGGUUUUUUAGAAAUUCAGCCUUAUUUACUGCAACAAAAAUAUGAAUUGCUACCCAGAUUGCAAUGGAUGUUAAUGAUUUGUCCAUUCCUUUUGUCACUCUGGGAGAUCCAGACGUCUUUCUGCUUCUCUGGCUAAUGAUGCCUUUUACUGGGCAAAUGUGUUGGAGAAAGGAACUGUACGACUGUUCUGAGUAACUGUAGAAUAACAAUGAAGGGCUUUGUUGGGAAAUUGAAGGGCAGGUGGAGGAGCCUUACACUCUGAUCAAUAUUUGCUGCAAGUGGCAGAUGUUCACCAUGUCUUGUUCGAAAUCUGUGGGGGAAGGAGGAGGUGUCUGUCCAUGCUGCUCAGGGAAACAGGAUGAGGGACUUGUCCUGCUUUUUCUUAAAUGAGAGAAUACAGUGGUGAAAAAUGAAUGUAUUAUAGCCAAAGAGAUGAAGGAGAUGCAUCUUUGUUAUUGUUUUUGUGUUAUUAGGGGAAAAUGAGGGGAAAAUUAGGGGAUGCUUCAGCCAAUUUUUUCACGAUAAUCUUCACUUACUCAGCAUAACUCUGGCACAGUGCACCUUAUCUGCUAAGUGCACCUAUCUUUGCAAAUGAAAGCAGAAAUCACUCCUGUUUUCUGGAAAGGGUGCAGUGGGGACCUCCGGGAAGCUACCACUACCCUUGUUAACAUCAGGGUGCACUUGAGGUAGCGGUAUAAUGUCCAAAUAUUCUUCAGAGGUCUGUUUCCUUCUGCACAAUUUACGGCAAAUCUUCCUGUAUGUUGUUUUCCCUGUCCCAAACUCCUCUGAAUCUAGACACUCGUGUGAAAGUUAACACAAGUUGUCACAAGCAUCCUUCCAGCUCUUUUUUUGCGCUCUGGGUCCUGUGCUGAAAUCGAUUCACAGAAUCCUUGGACUUCUCCUUCCUAUCCUCUUUUUCUUUUUUGAAACAUUUUUUAUGCAUCAAGCAGCUUGCAAGGCUCACGUUCCUCAUCAUAAUGGUGCCUCAGCUGCCAGAGACAAAUUGCAAAUAUUUGUCAUUUCUACACUGAACUCAGCACCAAUGAUAAUAGGUUUCAUUUUUUUUCUCAAUUUUGGAAUGUCAUUCCCAUCUGUUUUUCUAGCCUGGGCUUCCCUAGGAAAUGGAUGUUCCCAAGGAACCCAGUAGUGUGUAAUAUAAUAAGAUGCCUCCCACUCUACAUCUCCUUUCCAUAGAAAUCCUGUGGUGGUGUUGGAAUGGGAAGGAGGGAAGAAGAUGCUGGGCUAAUGAGAGGUGAAUAGUAACAGGAUUCAAGUUAGCAGUUUUAUGUGCACCUCUGUAGCAAUGUUACCUUGAAGUGUGUUUCCAAGAGGCAAGAAAAAGUCUUACUGAAAAAGGCAAUGGAUAAAUCAGAAAGAUAUGUAGCAUUCCAUAGAAGGGUACUGAAAUAUAUUCAACUGCAGAAGUGAGAGAGAGACAUCAUGCAGAUCAGCAACCGAGAAGGCUGCACUGCUUUGCUCUGUGCAUAGUAAAAUGGAGCGCAGUCUUUGCCUUAAGAUCUCUUAGAACACACACAGGUCAGCAUCAUGUGCACUGGAAGGGAACAGACUUUAGAAAAAUUGGCCUGCAUCCAAGAAUUUUAUAUUGCUAAAGAUUUGAUUAUAAGUGUCUUAUAAUCUCAGCAUUUUGAAAUGUUUAAUUUUGGUAAUUCCUCUCAUAAAAUGUGAAAGGAGCUAAAGAGUGCUGAACAAACUGUGAGCCAAAGUAUAUUUGCUAUUGCUUUUUUUCUGUAUCUGCUGUUGCAAUAAAUAUGCCUGCCCUGCAAUCUGUAUUCCCUUUAACUCAUGCGGUGCUGCCACGUUAUUUGAGUAGCAGGAAGAGUAGCAGCGGGCCCAGAUGUGUAGUCAAGCAGCGCAAGGUGGGGACAGAAGAUUGAGUUCUUGUUUGUGGAGCACCACAAUGACCACACUAGGGAAGGUAGUGCCAAACGGAUGGAAAGAGGCUCAUGGUUCAUACAGCUCAUUUCCACCACUGGUGAUGGCAUCCAGAUACUACCUGGUUUAGAGGUGCAGAGCUACAAUAUAAUACAGGACAUGAUAGGAGUAUUUCCCUCUGCAGCAUUUUCAAGCUGACCAUCUAUCUGGAUUUCAAACAGCAUUUUUGUAACCUCAGUCUUUGCAUUUCAAUUUAGCGGUUUGGAAAAAAGUAUUAGCUCUACAACUCCCAAUUUGAAGUGACAUCAUUUGACAGCUGUGGUAAAUCACCUGGGUAUGUUACAAUACAUGCAUAAAUCUUUCACAGCUCACCCUAUUCUGAACAGUUAGAAGUCCUGGAAGUCCUGCUCACAUCCCUUGUGCUCCUGUAGACCCCCCAGCGUUAUUUUGCUUUAUAGCGGCACUGGUCCAUUUCUCUGGAAUGCAUUUAGUUUGGCCAACACUCACAAAUCCUAAUAUUUGAGGCAAUGUCAUAGAGUUGGGGCUGGACAUGCUACACAAACCCAGGAGACAGUAUCAGGAGAGGAAAAGAGGUGCUGCUCUAAAAAAAUGUGUGAAUCUCAGGGGGAACACACACUGGAAUUGCAAAGGAAGCCAUCAGCAUUCAGCGAGAGUGAUAACAUACCUAAUCCAGAUGAUCUUGUAACAGAAAAGGGCACUCAGGGGCCAGACAGCAGAUAAACCUUAUCACAUUAUACAAUGAGGGAAAAUCAUUCAAAAUGAACAGAAUCCUCUCAUGAGCUUGAUGCAGCUCAUAGCUGAAGGCCGUGGGCUGGUGAGCCUGGGUUUCAUUCAUGCAAAAAGAAAGCCCAGCCACUUUAAAACAAUCUUUGCGAAUGCACUCAAGCCGAUUCAUCUAAAAUAUUUGAAGUAAUAUUCCUGUGUAGACAGGACUUCAUUAUGUUACUUGUUAUUGUUUUCAGGGAGUCCUCACCUGCUCUUUAAAGCACAACAUACAUUAUGAGAGAGAAUGAUUGCUCAUUGUUGUUGUAUUCCUUAAUUGCCUUCUGUAUUACUGUACUCAAAGGAAUGUAUUUUUUCUCUUCUGCCCUUCUCUGCCUGCAUCCGACAGCACUCAGCAUUUUCCACAGAGCUCAGAAUUGCUCGCAUUCUUAUAAAAACGCCUCAGCCGUAUGGGAUUUGCUGAGAGGAAAUAAAAAGUACACGACUUGAGAAAACGCAA